GAGAGAGAGUUUCUAUUUAGUAAUUGCAAGCUAAAACGCUAAUGGAUAUGUUACGAGUCCCAAAACGGACUAACACAGUAAAAAAAAGCUCCUGCUAGCUAUAUUUUACAUGCUUAAACACCGUUCUUAGUACGACACUUGCACUUACACCAUAGGCUAAAUGUGUAAAAGUAAAACUAAUGAUAAUAAAGCAUCAAGGUUGGUUUCUACCAUUUGACCAAUGUGUUUCAUCAUGAUUUGAGGGGCUACAGUAAAAUUUAAAAUUGACAAACCCCAGCACCUAAUAUCAGACUCAGAGCUGCCCAAAUGAGUGAGCAAGAUAAGCCAAUGCUCCAACUAGAGGAGCGUUAAUAUAAGUGGAUGGCUCUGACUGCUCAUAGUCUGAUCUUUGGUCUGGGAACUUAUCGUGCUGAUCUGGGCCUCCAACUACUGCACCCACAAGAAUGUUGGGGUUCGGGGACUCAGAAUUCAUGAAGCUGAAGCCCGAUGAGCAUUGGAUCAUGGCAGGGUGCGCGGCUAUGGACGGUAGAGAUGAGCCCCUGUGGUGUAUCCUUUGUGGGUAUUUUGGACCGUAUCCCACCAUGUAGGACAUCUUCAAGGGGUUGUCUCCCAGCAGAUAGUCCACCUAAUUUUUCAAUUUCAGUGUUUAAAACAAUAAAAUGGAUUAAAUUACUAAUAAGAAAUUUGAAUUUCGCAUUAAUAAGUUAGAUUAAUUUUAUGGUUUAAGAAUGUUUCUUGCACCUGUUUCUUGGCAAUGUUUCGUAGCCUAUUUGGAGUGACUACAGUUCCCCCACAGUUCACAACCUUGUGGGCAGAGGUCAAGUACUUGGCGUAGGUUAGGAGCAAGAACGAAGUGGAGGUCACAUACUGCAUGUUGCUAUCACUCAUCUUGAACAAAAGUCCACCUGGAGUAUAUUGUGCUGAAGAGAAAGGGGCCCCUGGAAUGAUGGAACAGACGAAAUUAUCUGCAUGGCCUUUGUAGUCAUGGAGGGAUUGCAGUUUUUGAACAAGAAAUGCCUUGGAGAGAAGAAUUCUUGCUCCCACAUGCUUGUUGUCCCAACCAAAGGUGUUGUCAAACUCUGCAGCCCCAAGGGUCUGCCCAUUAACUUGGAUGUAGUUGAGGUAAGUAGGGUACUUGGUUGCCUUAUGCAGCCAGGCAGCUCCCCACAACAGCUCAUCCUCAUAUCCAGAAUAGGAGCAAUAAAAAGGGCAAACAUUUUUCUUCAAUCCAUUGCUGUAUGCUCCUCUAUGCUCGUCUGCAAAUUGAAACACCUAGACAAAGACAUAAUUAAUGGCAAACAUUCUCGUUUAAUUUACUAUAUAUUUUUUUAAAAUAAUUUGACUCUAACUAUAUAUUCACCCUGACAGCCCUCCGGACUAAAAGCUUCGAGUAAGUGGGGUCACUUCUUCUAAACACCAAAGAGGCUGCAGCAAGAGCAGCAGCAGUUUCAGCAGCAACAUCAGAACCAGGGGAAUUUCUGUCUACUUUGAAAACACUCCUUGGUGUAUCCAUAUCUUCUGGUCUUUCCCAACAAGAAUGAUCCUUGUUCGCAUCACCAACCUGAACGUAGAUGACGUCUGGAUGUACUGUAACUUUGAGAAGGUAAUCAGUAGCCCAACGAAUGGCGGCUUUAGCAUUUUGCAACUCGCCUUUCAUCAGCCCACCAAACUCAAUGACGCUCCAUGAGAGCAUAGUGGUAGUGAAAGCCAUAGGGAAACCAAAUUUCACAUUGUCCCCUGCAUCAUAG
This 1748-nucleotide unclassified non-coding RNA is filed under the name Hevea brasiliensis (rubber tree). Lineage: Eukaryota; Viridiplantae; Streptophyta; Magnoliopsida; Malpighiales; Euphorbiaceae. The record is from RNAcentral.